UUAUUACUCCCUUCGUCUCAAAAUUCUUGUCUUAGAUUUGUCUAGAUAUGAAUGUAUCUAGUCAUGUUUUAGUAUUUUGAUAAAUCCAUUUCUAGACAAACCUAAGACAAGAAUUUUGGGACGGAGGGAGUACUUC
This 136-nucleotide microRNA precursor is filed under the name Hordeum vulgare. Its description in RNAcentral is "microRNA MIR1122". It matches the Rfam family "MIR1120/MIR1122 microRNA precursor family". The record is from RNAcentral. Lineage: Eukaryota; Viridiplantae; Streptophyta; Magnoliopsida; Poales; Poaceae.